AUUGAACGCUGGCGGCAGGCCUAACACAUGCAAGUCGAGCGGAUGGAGGGAGCUUGCUCCUGGAUUCAGCGGCGGACGGGUGAGUAAUGCCUAGGAAUCUGCCUGGUAGUGGGGGAUAACGUCCGGAAACGGGCGCUAAUACCGCAUACGUCCUGAGGGAGAAAGUGGGGGAUCUUCGGACCUCACGCUAUCAGAUGAGCCUAGGUCGGAUUAGCUAGUUGGUGGGGUAAAGGCCUACCAAGGCGACGAUCCGUAACUGGUCUGAGAGGAUGAUCAGUCACACUGGAACUGAGACACGGUCCAGACUCCUACGGGAGGCAGCAGUGGGGAAUCUUGGACAAUGGGCGAAAGCCUGAUCCAGCCAUGCCGCGUGUGUGAAGAAGGUCUUCGGAUUGUAAAGCACUUUAAGUUGGGAGGAAGGGCAGUAAGUUAAUACCUUGCUGUUUUGACGUUACCAACAGAAUAAGCACCGGCUAACUUCGUG
Molecule: ribosomal RNA, 484 nt
Filed under: uncultured bacterium
Lineage: Bacteria
Description: partial 16S ribosomal RNA
Rfam family: Bacterial small subunit ribosomal RNA
Source: RNAcentral